UACGUAGGGGGCGAGCGUUGUCCGGAGUUACUGGGCGUAAAGGGCCUGUAGGCGGUAGUGCGCGUUUGUGGUGACAGCUCCCGGCUUCACUGGGAGAGAGCCGCGAAGACGGCACAGCUAGAGGGCCAGGGAGGGACAUGGAACUCCGGGUGGAGCGGUGAAAUGCGUAGGGAUCCGGAAGAACACCAAAGGCGAAGGCAAUGUCCUGGCUGGUACCUGACGCUGAGGGGCGAAAGCUAGGGGAG
RNAcentral lists this ribosomal RNA (245 nucleotides) under uncultured Thermogemmatispora sp. RNAcentral describes it as "partial 16S ribosomal RNA". It matches the Rfam family "Bacterial small subunit ribosomal RNA", at positions 524 to 768 of the family's 1533-position model. Lineage: Bacteria; Bacillati; Chloroflexota; Ktedonobacteria; Thermogemmatisporales; Thermogemmatisporaceae. The record is from RNAcentral.